GUUGACCUCGAAUCAGGUAGGACUACCCGCUGAACUUAAGCAUAUCAAUAAGCGGAG
RNAcentral lists this ribosomal RNA (57 nucleotides) under Calonectria pauciramosa. RNAcentral's name for it is "partial 28S ribosomal RNA". It matches the Rfam family "Eukaryotic large subunit ribosomal RNA", at positions 1 to 55 of the family's 3401-position model. The record is from RNAcentral. RNAcentral also lists the same sequence under 12 other names. Lineage: Eukaryota; Fungi; Ascomycota; Sordariomycetes; Hypocreales; Nectriaceae.